Molecule: long non-coding RNA, 522 nt
Filed under: Sus scrofa (pig)
Lineage: Eukaryota; Metazoa; Chordata; Mammalia; Artiodactyla; Suidae
Description: lncRNA (ENSSSCG00030060659.1)
Source: RNAcentral
AUGCCGACUAUGUUUGGGUCUCUGGAAUACCUCACAGAUGCUCAAAACCAGCAGCCUCAUGCAUUCCUCUCAAUGACUACCCCUCUAUCUGCCAAGGAACUUUCUGUCAAUGCCUCCAAUCCCCAGGUGAAUAAUGUGCUAUCCUAUUGCCUGCCUUCUGCCCUGGAGCUGCUUUGCAUUUGAUUUAGAAAUGGAAUAGUACCUGCCCUCAAUUUGGUGUUAAGCUCGAUCUCCAGAGUUCCAGAGCAGCAGAGGUUGGACGCUGAGUGUGUUGUGGAAAACCCCCUUCAUCUUUUACUUAUUGCCGUCUUUGUGAGAAUCAGACCUUGUACCAGGGACCAGAAUCCCUACUGACUUCCUUAUCUUUUUCCUGGCGUCCACACUAAUAAGAGAUUUUACCCAUAGGUCUUCUUACCCCAUACUUAUCAACCGAAACCCAUAGGCCAGGUGAUACUGUCAGUUCAACAGAGCAAGCUGAUGGUGCUGAGCUUACACCAAGAUGUGCAAAUGCCUUAAAUCCAU